Molecule: ribosomal RNA, 438 nt
Filed under: uncultured bacterium
Lineage: Bacteria
Description: partial 16S ribosomal RNA
Rfam family: Bacterial small subunit ribosomal RNA
Source: RNAcentral
CUACGGGGGGCUGCAGUGAGGAAUAUUGCACAAUGGGGGGAACCCUGAUGCAGCAACGCCGCGUGGAGGAUGACGCAUUUCGGUGUGUAAACUCCUUUAUAUGUCAAGAAAAUGACGGUAGCAUAUGAAUAAGCACCGGCUAACUCCGUGCCAGCAGCCGUGGUAAUACGGAGGGUGCAAGCGUUACUCGGAAUCACUGGGCGUAAAGGACGCGUAGGCGGGUUGGAAAGUCAGGUGUGAAAUCCUACAGCUUAACUGUAGAACUGCACUUGAAACUUCUAAUCUAGAGUAUGGGAGGGGGAGAUGGAAUUAGUGGUGUAGGGGUAAAAUCCGUAGAUAUCACUAGGAAUACCUAAAGCGAAGGCGAUCUCCUGGAACAUUACUGACGCUAAGGCGUGAAAGCGUGGGGAGCAAACAGGAUUAGAUACCCGCGUAGUC